RNAcentral lists this ribosomal RNA (451 nucleotides) under uncultured bacterium. Its description in RNAcentral is "bacterial SSU rRNA". It matches the Rfam family "Bacterial small subunit ribosomal RNA", at positions 330 to 794 of the family's 1533-position model. The record is from RNAcentral.
GCCAGACUCCUACGGGAGGCAGCAGUGGGGAAUAUUGGGCAAUGGGCGCAAGCCUGACCCAGCAACGCCGCGUGAAGGAAGAAGGCUUUCGGGUUGUAAACUUCUUUUAAGAGGGACGAAACAAAUGACGGUACCUGACUAAGAAGCCCCGGCUAACUACGUGCCAGCAGCCGCGGUAAUACGUAGGGGGCAAGCGUUAUCCGGAUUUACUGGGUAUAAAGGGAGCGUAGACGGAAUUGCAAGUCUGAUGUGAAAAUCCGGGGCCCAACCCCGGAACUGCAUUGGAAACUGUAUUUCUAGAGUGUCGGAGAGGCAAGUGGAAUUCCUGGUGUAGCGGUGAAAUGCGUAGAUAUCAGGAGGAACACCAGUGGCGAAGGCGGCUUGCUGGACGAUGACUGACGUUGAGGCUCGAAAGCGUGGGGAGCAAACAGGAUUAGAUACCCGGGUAUGC